RNAcentral lists this ribosomal RNA (399 nucleotides) under Triticum aestivum (bread wheat). RNAcentral's name for it is "partial small subunit ribosomal RNA". Lineage: Eukaryota; Viridiplantae; Streptophyta; Magnoliopsida; Poales; Poaceae. The record is from RNAcentral.
AUGAAUUCUAGAAUGCUUUUCAGUUUCAAAUCAAGAACUCUAGCUUGUUUACCUGCCAUUGUGCGCUGCUGCUCGGGUGUGUUCGGUCUUCUACUGAGAUGUCUGGUGAAUGUUGUGUUUUCAGACGUGGUAUGGAAUGGGAUGGAGCAGUACUAUUGGGUAGAGCUGUGUGCGCUGCUGCUCGGGUGUGUUGUCGGUCUUCUACUAAGAUGUCUGGUGAAUGUUGUGUUUUCAGACGUGGUAUGGAAUGGGAUGGAGCAGUACUAUUGGGUAGAGCUGUGUGCGCUGCUGCUCGGGUGUGUUGUCGGUCUUCUACUGAGAUGUCUGGUGAAUGUUGUGUUUUCAGACGUGGUAUGGAAUGGGAUGGAGCAGUACUAUUGGGUAGAGCUGUGUGGCUGA